RNAcentral lists this long non-coding RNA (6919 nucleotides) under Triticum aestivum (bread wheat). Its description in RNAcentral is "long non-coding RNA (TAES_LNC012705)". The record is from RNAcentral. Lineage: Eukaryota; Viridiplantae; Streptophyta; Magnoliopsida; Poales; Poaceae.
CUUUCGACCACGACGGUGGCAUGACAGUCUUGUUAGUGCCAUCAUCGAUGUCGAGGGUUGGUUUAGAAUUUCGCCGGGCUUCGUUCGCUUUACAAAUAAACCGGAAAUAAAGCCCCGUAGGAGACAGAGAAAGGGCAUUUUCAUACCUGAUGCUCAUCUUUUGGCUGUGAUUAUGGAACCAUCAUUCGGAACAAAUCUUCAGUUGUGGAUUAAAUCGUUCUGUAGUGAUCUUUCGAGCUGUUUAUUUUUUCUUUUCCUCUUUGAAUGUGCUGUAGUGGCCUUAUUAUUACUAAAAGAAGUUGGAAAAGAAAAACUAACGUUCCCAACUGCUUUGCGGCACGCAUGUGGGAUGGCUCGCGCGAGCCGACCUGACGCCCUGACGUUUUUUUCUUCCACUUUGUCCCUUGCAUUUUAUUUUCAUUGUCCAUGGUGCUUUUAAAAUUGCACAAUAGAUUACAGAUUCAACUCAGAAACAUCUUCUGAUCUCUACUCCUAAAGGAGGAGUUUGCGGUGGUGAUGGUAGGUCAUAGUACGUCGUUCGUUCGUUCCUUCGUUGGUCAAGUUCGCUUCGUUGUUCCUCCCCUCCUCAAAUCAAUGGACCUUUCCUUCCUUUUUAGAACGAACUAAAUCUCAUUCUCUCACAUGACUGCGCAAGAGUUAUGUUCCUGACCGCCGUCGGCCUCUCCUCCCAUCGAUCGCCUCUGGUCUAGUGUCCCCUGCCCUUGCCGGUCUCCGUGGUCUCCGUCCUUACUGCCACCGCCAAGGCGACUCUAGAUCCACGCCCGCCGUCGCCGUCGGCAUGUCCUACCAAAGGUUGCUGCACGGAUGCUUAGAUGGGGAAGACCUUGGCCUCAGGGAGCACGGGCGGUGCCAUGGUGUCCUCCCACACCGAUGUUAUCUCUUCAUCCGGCGAAGCAUGAUGUCUCCUUAUCUACUCCCUCCGUUCUAAAAUAGAUGACCCAACUUUGUAUUAACUUUGUACUAAAGUUAGUAUCAAGUUAAGUCAUCUAUUUUAAAACGGAGGGAGUAAUUAUUAAGCCCGGCCUGCAGCAGGCUAUUUUCAUUUCCAGGCUAAGCAUCUCGAUCUCUUUUGCGUCCCCCUCUUCUUCUCAGGUGACUAUGGUUUGAAGAUUUGGGGAUUCUCACCUAACAUUCUUCAGUCUAGCUGUCGGAGCUUGAGCCAGAAUUAUUGGGGGGCCAUGGGCUAGAGGAGGGGGGGCAAACAUAACUAUUUUAGCUGAUUCUCAAUGAAAAAUAUGCCUAACACAAAGGAGUAUCUACAUGUUUUCUUGUGAGCUGGGGGGCUCCGUCACUGCUGUCCAGUAUUAUGUUCCACAAUGCACAACGACCUUCAACCUCUUGGUUUUUAUUUUGACGACCAAUCGACUUGCUAACAACUCUUUUCUUCAGAGCAAUGCCCGCCUUCAGUGCAAUUUUGCCGACCAACUAAUAUUUUGUUCCUCGGUUUGAUUAGCAGUUUAGCAUCAACCACAUCGCAGACAGGACGAACAUGGUCGCGGAUUGGAGGACGGUGAGCCCAGAAACGCCAUGGUGUUAGAGUAGAAUAAGCAGGCGUAUAGGGGAUGCAGGAUCACCGUCGACAAACAAGCCGCCGGGUGACCUAGGUGGCGAUGACGACCAGCUUAGCCAGGUACUUGAGCAAACUUCCCCAUAAACAUGUACUCUUCCGACUUCAAUCAAUCCGGCUCAGUCUUGAGAGAGUACACAUCAUGUAGAACGGUUGUUGAGAGCAGCAUGUUCGUACAGGAGGAAUUUGGUUGAUCGGCUUCAGGUUUUGAGAGCCAACAGGUACGUAUGUGCUAAGAAUUUUUAAUGGGUAAUCAAUCUUAGGAGAGAAAGGAUUGUUAGGAUUUUUAUGGGUAAUCAAUCUUAUGGGCAAGAACUGAUUUUUGUCUCUGCUGAACGGUAGCACUCUUAUCCUAUUUGAACCAUAAAAGCAGUAGUGACUUCACAAUGCAAUAAGCUAAAUUGUUAUUAAGAUUUCUGUUAGCAGCACCAACUUCUGUUCGUUUCUGUUAGCAGCACCAACUUCUGUUCAGAUGUCAGAAAAAACUUCAGUACAAGAUUUAGGAACAAUCAGCCAGCUUAACUCUCAGCCUAAAACCAUUCUCUCUUGCAGUUCAGUUAUGUCAAGCUAUUAUAAUUCACUCAGCAUGUGCAUUCAAGCAACAAGCAUUCCACUAAUUUGCACAUUGAAUUGCAAAUGUAAUCAACGGAGGUAGGGCACGGAGGGUGCUUGGCGGGGAGGUGCGCAACGGCUUCUUUGGGUGGGACGCUGACGAUAGCAUCUUUGGGACGAUGCCCUUGGUUGUGAGGUGUGACGAUGCCCUUGGUAAUGAAUCACCAUUGACACUGGGCAGGGGCUUUGGAUUUGGCGUCUGCACUACACUGCCACGCUGGUGACGAUGUUGAGUGCCUCAAUGGUGUGUGCGCGCGUGCCCGCGCGUGCCCGAGCUGAUGAAGAAGGUGUGCUACCGCCUACUGCUGAAGCAUGAUCUCUAUUUUGAAUUUUUCUUUUGUGUGUGUCGCUUCUUAUUCGAGAAUUGUUAUGUGCGAGUGUAUCUUCCCCCCCUCAAUUUUGACUUAUAUUUAUUUGUUUAUGAUUAUACUAGAAUUUCUUAUUAAAUGAUUAAAUAAAUUAGCUGUGUCCUUACUUUCUUCUAUACAUACAACAUAAAAAAGUAUAUAGAAGAUGAUUAUAACUUGUAUAGGUCACUGCUCUGCUUUCAGAAAAUAGAAGAUGAUUAUAACUUGUACGGAUGCUGCUGAUUUAUACAUCUAGCUUCACAAUGAUAGCACAUGCUUCUGGGCUGUACUAAUAAACAUUAAAUCUCAAUUAUGGAGGGGCAUGGUGCUUUCAGAACUUUUUUUUGACUGGUCUAUUUUAAUUCAGAUUAAAUCAACAAAAGACUUGCAUCUGUAGUUGUUUCUUGCUGAUGAAAGACAAUGCUUAGUUUCUGAUGAGAGAGUUAAAUGUUGUUGUUGUUUUGAAGUGAUUGCCAACUCUUGCUUGGAGAAAGGAAUCACCAAAGUCGUCUACCCCGAGGGGGUUCCUUCUACCAUGGCUGCAUCAAAGCUCUAGCCGAUCCUGCUAGAGAGAAUGGGUUUGAGUUAUGAAAUUUUCUAUCAAUAUUGCUAGGAUCACAUGUAAUACCUGUUUUCUGUUUCGUUUCAUCACUAUGGUUUUCUGUUUGUUUAUGAAUAAAUGAUUUGUAUACCUUUAAAAUGUUUUGUACAUUGUAAAUCUUGUGGAAUGUUUUGAGUUUUUCAUGCAUGCAUCCUGAGGAGUACACAGGUUCAUAUGUGCGAUGACACAUCAACCCUGAAGCCACGAGGACAUGGAAAUCUAAAUCAAGAUGCUUAUAUGUUGUUUAUAUUUUGAUGCCCAAUUAUCUUCCUUGCCUGUGGUAGCUGCUCAUAAGAAAAUAACCAUAUAUGCCCCUUGUUUGCCUCAUCCCUUGUAUUUUUAUCCCUCACAGUAAAAUACUAAAAUAAGAGUAAGAGCCAGUUCACUUCACUUUUUCUUAUAAAUUUCACAUUUUCACCUCACUACAUAAAGAUGCUACAGAAAAUAAAACUGGCAAAAAAAGUUUGAAAUGCUGCCUUGUCUGGGAUCUUAAAUGGUGCCACCCCGUUAGAAAAUACUUGUCGCUCAAACAGAUGUUUUUAAACAUAUUUCAAUAUUAGAUACAUACAUUUGAGUGACAAGUAUUUUCGGACGGAGGGAGUAAAUGUUUGGCACAAUUAAUAUUAAACUACUAAAAUAUUUAUGCACCCGUUGCAACACACGGGCAUUUUCCUAGUAUAGAUAAUUACCAUCUACUUAACAUUUCAGUUGGGUCACAGUCGGUCGUUAUAUAUAUGCAAGAUUCUGUGAAUUCCUUUACCAUUUUUUGGAAGGGAAUUCCUCUACCAUUUGUCAAUGGGUACAAUUUUAUACCGUUUCCCACCGUUUUAAGUUUGCACUAAUCUUAACAAGUUACUUAAAAAGGCCAUCGCCAUAUUAGCUUGGAGAUCAAACAUAGAUUUAAGGUAGCAGGUAUCAAGUUUGAUCACAAAUUACUUUCAUGAAUAGCCUUUGAUCUGGGUUCGUGUUUUUUUUUUGAAAUGACAAUUAUCCUGCAUUCAUUAAGAAGAAAAGAGUUGCUCAGUUAAUUUAGAAAACCGAGCGAAAGCCAUCACAACCGCUGAGCGGGUUGUGGGAUACGGGAUUUAUACCAAACCUGUUUCUAGUAAUCGCGUUUAGGAUUCUAACCACCUAAAACUACAAAAAUGCUACACCCACUAAAAGUACUCCCCCGCGAUUUUCAGGGUGUAGCAAAGCUCCUAAAACUAGACGAGUAUUUGGAAAAACUAGUAAUCGUCGUUUUUCUACAAACCAGUUUAGUUUAUGGUUCGUUUCAAUCACAGACUCUAGCUUCCAUUAGACCCCGUUUCAGGUGUACUACAGCAAGUACGUCUACUACGGCAAGGCUAGCCCCGUUUCGAUCAGGUGUCGUGGCUGCUGCUCUCCUCGGUGAGGACGACAUCGGCGUUUGUCCUGUGACCGUGGGCUUGCUCGGCGCCGCUGUGGCCGCCGUGUAAGUGACAAGUUGUAGAUGGCUUUCCCGGAAACGGCAGCGGGCAGCGUCCAGUACAGCAAGGUCAGCCGAUUCCAGGUGCUGGUGUGAGUGCCCCGGCUGCUGCUCCCUCCACCGUCGACGAUGUAAUGCAAAUCCAGCACGCUGGUGCUGCCGGCCAGCCCACCAUUCUUACAGUCAGUGAAGCAGUGGCUGGGGCAGGCCAGGGCCUGACCUCCUCAAGGAGUAUGUCCCGUGCUCGCGCCGCUCAGCCUCGGCAACACCUACCUGGCUACCUCGCCGCAGCCGGCCUCCGGCGCGCUCUUUUGCGUCGGCUUGAUCAGAUAAUGAAAUGAUUGGCGUGCGACACACACAUAUAUGCAACGCAUCACAGGUCGAUGGAGCGUAGCACGGUGGGGUUGAUGGUGGUGGUGGCGCCGCCGAAGACGAGGUUGUGGCCGCCGACGAACAAAGCGUCCCAGCCUGGUCGGACGCGAGGAACAGCGCGGCUUCCGUCACGUCGACCGCGUUAGCACCUUCCCACGCAGCACGUUGAGCUUCUCCGUCAUUGCCUCCAUCUCGUAGGCGCUCACGGCCACCAUGGCGCAGCUCAGUGGCGUGGUGCCCGAGCUCCAUGGCAUGCAGCCGCGCGCACCAGCCCCAGCAGCGGCCAGCAAUUUGAUGGACAUCACAUGGUCGAGGGCGCCCAGCUCCAUGUGCGUGAAAGGCCCGUCGGGAGCAGCACCAACUGUGCCGUGGACCCAUGGUCGAUGUGCUGGGCGCGGUGCUUGCCCUCUUGCCUCUCACGUGAAUGUAAGGUUGAGGAUGACCCGAAAGAGAUGACAAACAAACUAUUCUAUGAACCAGUUUUAAUAAAACGACAGCUUAAAACUGGUUUUCCUAAAAAUACUCUUAAAACUGGUUUUGCUAAAACUUGUUUCAAAUACUAGUUAUCCAAACAACCACAUAAGGUACCCCACCCACACCACUCCAAAGAGGGUCUCGCCGAGACAACACACAUGCGCGAUCGUCAUCACUCCUCCCCUAGAGGCGUGAUCGCCAUCCCUAAACCCUGAGCAAACGACUCCGACUUCGCCGUAAGCGAUCGUCGACUCAACCCACGCUGAAGAGGCCAUGUGGAGAUGUAUGAAGUUCCGCGCCAGACCCAGCCACCGGUGACCAGACAACGCAGCUCCGACUUUGACGGAGAACCACGAAGGAGAACUAGGCACGGCUGACGCCACAGAAGAUCAUCGAACGAACCACAUGCUGCCAGUCAUCGUAUACCAUAAGGCCCCGCCACCGCAGCUUCAACUUCAGAGCAACUAACCGGCCGAGGCGAUCCCACGGACACGCCAGAGAAGAGCCGACUACCGCAACCAUAGCCAUGUCUCCAACAUUGCUCGCCCCAUGAUCGUUGCCACGGAAGCCUCGACGCCAACACCGCCAACUUUCCCUGGUCUCGCUCGCCAACAUCCAGCUCCAAAGACUAAGCCCCCGGGGGGGAGUACGACACCAAGGCGUCGUCAUCGUCCGAUUAAACAAGAUAAGGGGUUUCCCCCGAAGCUGCAGCGAUCCGCAUGGGAGGGGUGCAGCAGCAAAACAACGAUGUCUCCAAGAAGAUAAGCAACGACCAUGGCCGCCGCCAUCGCUGGUCACCGUCACAAUCGAGACAGGGUUUUCACGCAAGCUCCUGAGACCACCUCAUCCGCACAUCAUCUCACAAUAGCGAUCACGUAGCACCACCACCGAGCUGGCUCGUAGUCGAACAAGCCAAUCGUCGGAGCAACCAACCGCACCUUGCGGAGGCCGCAGACCGACAGUAGCCGCUAGAUCUGCCAACCGCCGACAAAGAGCCAGACCACCGGACGCAGCAUGAACCGUCAAUCCUUGCCGAGCACCAUGCCGACAGGACCACAGAAAUGCUUCCUGAGGCCACAAACCACCUCGGUUCCCAGCCGUGACCAAGCUCACAUGCGCACGCGCACCACACACGCCCACGAAAGACGCAGAAGAUCCAGCCACCACAAACGCGAUCAUGCUCCAGCACUACGAGCUCCUCCACUUCGGGCUGCCACGCUGACCGAGCAGCAGCAACCACCCCUCGUGCCGGCGCGACCACACGACGGUACCUCCUCGCCACCGGACCCCUGAAGCCGUUCCCCGAGCGUCGUACAGGCUGUCGGAUGAUACGUCUUCAACGUAUCUAUAAUUUUUGAUUGUUCCAUGCUAUUAUAUUAUGGGACUGUCUAUUUGGUAUUUGACUGUUUUACAAUUUGAGAACAUUCAAAAAUCCUGACAAAUGAACAUAUGACACAUGUACAGUCACAAAAACAGCU